This 89-nucleotide unclassified non-coding RNA is filed under the name Pseudomonas moraviensis. Lineage: Bacteria; Pseudomonadati; Pseudomonadota; Gammaproteobacteria; Pseudomonadales; Pseudomonadaceae. The record is from RNAcentral.
UGUAGGAGUGAGCCUGCUCGCGAUAGCGGUGUGUCAGUGACAAACUCAGUGACUGGUACGACGCUAUCGCGAGCAGGCUCACUCCUACA